RNAcentral lists this ribosomal RNA (2510 nucleotides) under Lactobacillus delbrueckii subsp. bulgaricus. RNAcentral describes it as "partial 23S ribosomal RNA". It matches the Rfam family "Bacterial large subunit ribosomal RNA", at positions 1 to 2296 of the family's 2925-position model. The record is from RNAcentral. Lineage: Bacteria; Bacillati; Bacillota; Bacilli; Lactobacillales; Lactobacillaceae.
UUGCAAGGUCAAGUGAAGAAGGGCGCACGGUGAAUGCCUUGGCACUGGAAGCCGAUGAAGGACGCGACUAACCGCGAAAGUCUUCGGGGAGCCGUAAGUAGGCUUUGAUCCGGAGGUCUCCGAAUGGGGGAACCCAGCAUGUGCAGACAUGCUAUCCUUAAGUGAAUNNNNNNNNNNNNNNNNNNNNNNNNNNNNNNNNNNNNNNNNNNNNNNNNNNNNNNNNNNNNNNACGCGCCAGAGAGGGUGAGAGCCCCGUAAGCGAAAUCCAAAGAAGGCCUAUCAGUAUCCUGAGUAGGGCGGGACACGUGAAAUCCCGUUUGAAUCCGCGAGGACCAUCUCGCAAGGCUAAAUACUAACCAGUGACCGAUAGUGAACCAGUACCGUGAGGGAAAGGUGAAAAGAACCCCGGGAGGGGAGUGAAAGAGAACCUGAAACCGUGUGCCUACAAGUAGUCAGAGCCCGUUAACGGGUAAUGGCGUGCCUUUUGUAGAAUGAACCGGCGAGUUGCGUUAGUCAGCAAGGUUAAGUCAGAAAAGACGGAGCCGCAGCGAAAGCGAGUCUGAAUAGGGCGAGCAGUUGGCUGACGCAGACCCGAAACCAAGUGACCUACCCAUGACCAGGUUGAAGGCGCGGUAAAACGCGCUGGAGGACCGAACCCACGUAAGUUGAAAAUUGCGGGGAUGAGUUGUGGGUAGCGGUGAAAUUCCAAACGAACUUGGAGAUAGCUGGUUCUCUCCGAAAUAGCUUUAGGGCUAGCCUCGCAAAGAGGAUGCUGGAGGUAGAGCUCUGUUUGGACUAGGGGCCCGUCAAGGGUUACUGAAUUCAGAUAAACUGCGAAUUCCAGACAUUUAUGUGCGGGAGUCAGACUGCGAGUGAUAAGAUCCGUAGUCGAAAGGGAAACAGCCCAGAUCACCAGUUAAGGUCCCAAAAUUCAUGCUAAGUGGAAAAGGAUGUGGAGUUGCGCAGACAACUAGGACGUUGGCUCAGAAGCAGCCAUCAUUCAAAGAGUGCGUAAUAGCUCACUAGUCGAGUGACGCCGCGCCGAAAAUUUACCGGGGCUAAGCAUGAUACCGAAACUGUGGAUGUGCAUUUAUGCACGUGGUAGGAGAGCGUUCUAGCGGCGGUGAAGCAUGACCGAGAGGACAUGUGGAGCUUCUAGAAGUGAGAAUGCCGGUAUGAGUAACGAAAGACAGGUGAGAAUCCUGUCCGCCGCAAGACUAAGGUUUCCUGGGGCAGGCUCGUCCGCCCAGGGUAAGUCGGGACCUAAGGCGAGGCCGAGAGGCGUAGUCGAUGGACAACAGGUUGAAAUUCCUGUACUGCACCGAAUCGUUAUGAGCGAUGGAGGGACGCAGGAGGCUAGCAGCGCGUGGUGCUGGAUACCACGUUCAAGCGUCAAGUCUGAGAGCGAGUCAAAUGCUUGCUCUCAUAAGGACAAGGCGUGAUGAGGAGCGAAAUUAAAGUAGCGAAGGCUGCGACGUCACACUGCCGAGAAAAGCUUCUNGACGCAGGAGGCUAGCAGCGCGUGGUGCUGGAUACCACGUUCAAGCGUCAAGUCUGAGAGCGAGUCAAAUGCUUGCUUUCAUAAGGACAAGGCGUGAUGAGGAGCGAAAUUAAAGUAGCGAAGGCUGCGACGUCACACUGCCGAGAAAAGCUUCUNNNNNNNNNNNNNNNNNNNNNNNNNNNNNNNNNNNUCAUAAGGACAAGGCGUGAUGAGGAGCGAAAUUAAAGUAGCGAAGGCUGCGACGUCACACUGCCGAGAAAAGCUUCUAGCCAGAAACGGUGCACCCGUACCGCAAACCGACACAGGUAGUCGAGGAGAGUAUCCUCAGGUGAGCGAGAGAACUCUCGUUAAGGAACUCGGCAAAAUGGCCCCGUAACUUCGGGAGAAGGGGCGCUGGUCGCAAGAUCAGCCGCAGUGAAAAGGCCCAAGCAACUGUUUAUCAAAAACACAGGCAUCUGCAAAAUCGUAAGAUGAAGUAUAGGUGCUGACACCUGCCCGGUGCUGGAAGGUUAAGAGGAGAGCUUAGCGCAAGCGAAGGUUUGAAUUGAAGCCCCAGUAAACGGCGGCCGUAACUAUAACGGUCCUAAGGUAGCGAAAUUCCUUGUCGGGUAAGUUCCGACCUGCACGAAAGGUGUAAUGAUUUGGGCACUGUCUCAACGAGAGACUCGGUGAAAUUAUAAUACCCGUGAAGAUGCGGGUUACCCGCGACAGGACGGAAAGACCCCAUGGAGCUUUACUGCAGUUUAAUAUUGGGUAUCUGUCAAGCAUGUACAGGAUAGGUAGGAGCCGGAGAAGAUAGGACGCCAGUCUUAUCGGAGGCGCUGUUGGGAUACUACCCUUGCUUGACGGAUNNNGAUAGGUAGGAGCCGGAGAAGAUAGGACGCCAGUCUUAUCGGAGGCGCUGUUGGGAUACUACCCUUGCUUGACGGAUGCUCUAACUCAGGCCUGUGAACCAGGCCGAGGACAGUGUUUGACGGGCAGUUUGACUGGGGCGGUCGCCUCCUAAAGU